UGAGGAAUAUUGGUCAAUGGGCGCAAGCCUGAACCAGCCAUCCCGCGUGCAGGAAGACGGCCCUAUGGGUUGUAAACUGCUUUUCCAGGGGGAGAAUUUUUCUGUCGUGACAGGAAUUGACGGUACCCUGGGAAUAAGCAUCGGCUAACUCCGUGCCAGCAGCCGCGGUAAUACGGAGGAUGCGAGCGUUAUCCGGAUUUAUUGGGUUUAAAGGGUGCGUAGGCGGAUAGAUAAGUCAGUGGUGAAAACCUGCAGCUUAACUGUAGACUUGCCGUUGAUACUGUCAGUCUUGAGUAUGGUCAAGGUAGGCGGAAUGUGUAAUGUAGCGGUGAAAUGCUUAGAUAUUACACAGAACACCGAUUGCGAAGGCAGCUUGCUGGGCCAUUACUGACGCUGAUGC
RNAcentral lists this ribosomal RNA (400 nucleotides) under uncultured bacterium. Its description in RNAcentral is "bacterial SSU rRNA". It matches the Rfam family "Bacterial small subunit ribosomal RNA", at positions 355 to 752 of the family's 1533-position model. The record is from RNAcentral.